This 978-nucleotide unclassified non-coding RNA is filed under the name Hevea brasiliensis (rubber tree). The record is from RNAcentral. Lineage: Eukaryota; Viridiplantae; Streptophyta; Magnoliopsida; Malpighiales; Euphorbiaceae.
UCUCUCUCUCUCUCUCUCUCUCUCUAGCACUCUUCUUUUCUUUGACCUCGCUUUACGCUUUCUCUUCUUUUAAACCCCAAUCUCAUAUCAGCUUCUCGAUCGGUUCUAAGGCAAAAAGGGUGAAAUUCUCAUCCUGAAAUUUGGUAUUUACCUCAAUCACGGAGCUUAGAUCUAAAUUUCCAACCAUUCAGCAACAAUGUCCUUUGCUCGGAAUUACCAUUCACAAGGUAAUUACCAUUCGCAAGGUGGCACUCUCCACGAUGAUCGUUGGUCCUCUUUCAAUAGAAACAACUACAGUAACAGGAACAGGAGUAUGAACACAAAUAGGAACGACAAUUACAACCAUAACUGGAAUUAUAACCAUUUCCAUGAAUUCCCAGGAAAAUUCAGGGACCACAUAAACAACAGUAACAAUUAUGUUAACAUUUCUAGUGGUGCCCCAUCCUUCAAAAGGAGAAAAUUUAGUGCUGGCACCUGGGGAGACACUGGGAGACACUUUGUGCAGCAGAUCACUUAUGAAACCACUGUUCCUUCAACCUACAACAAUUCUGUCCCUUCUACAAGAUCAAAUGCUGAGACCUCUACGUCUACCAGCUGCAAACGUGACCGCACAAAAUUGGAAGAUGAUGAACCUGCAUUUAUGUCCAGGGAUGAGAUUGAGAGACACUCCCCAUCGAGAAAAGAUGGUAUUGAUGCACUACGGGAAACACAUUUGCGGUAUUCUUACUGUGCAUUCCUUCAGAAUCUUGGACUGCGGCUUGAUUUGCCACAAACCACUGUUGGUACUGCCAUGGUUUUGUGCCAUCGUUUUUUUGUGCGAAGAUCACAUGCUUGCCAUGACAGAUUUUUAAUUGCUACUGCUGCUAUUUUUCUUGCUUCAAAGUCUGAGGAGACACCACGCCCUUUGAACAAUGUACUGAGAGCUUCUUGUGAAAUUUUUCACAAGCAAGAUAUGACUUUUUUGUCAUACAUUCUCCC